This 234-nucleotide ribosomal RNA is filed under the name uncultured bacterium. RNAcentral's name for it is "partial 16S ribosomal RNA". It matches the Rfam family "Bacterial small subunit ribosomal RNA", at positions 15 to 245 of the family's 1533-position model. The record is from RNAcentral.
GAUCAUGGCUCAGAUUGAACGCUGGCGGCAGGCUUAACACAUGCAAGUCGAACGGUAGCAGGAGAAAGCUUGCUUUCUUGCUGACGAGUGGCGGACGGGUGAGUAAUGCUUGGGAAUCUGGCUUAUGGAGGGGGAUAACUACGGGAAACUGUAGCUAAUACCGCGUAGUAUCGAGAGAUGAAAGUGCGGGACCGUAAGGCCGCAUGCCAUGAGAUGAGCCCAAGUGGGAUUAGG